This 958-nucleotide ribosomal RNA is filed under the name human gut metagenome. RNAcentral describes it as "bacterial SSU rRNA". It matches the Rfam family "Bacterial small subunit ribosomal RNA", at positions 8 to 986 of the family's 1533-position model. The record is from RNAcentral.
AGAGUUUGAUUCUGGCUCAGAACGAACGCUGGCGGCGUGGAUAAGACAUGCAAGUCGAACGAGAGAAUUGCUAGCUUGCUAAUAAUUCUCUAGUGGCGCACGGGUGAGUAACACGUGAGUAACCUGCCCCCAAGAGUGGGAUAGCCCCGGGAAACUGGGAUUAAUACCGCAUAAAAUCGCAAGAUUAAAGCAGCAAUGCGCUUGGGGAUGGGCUCGCGUCCUAUUAGUUAGUUGGUGAGGUAACGGCUCACCAAGGCGAUGACGGGUAGCCGGUCUGAGAGGAUGUCCGGCCACACUGGAACUGAGACACGGUCCAGACACCUACGGGUGGCAGCAGUCGAGAAUCAUUCACAAUGGGGGAAACCCUGAUGGUGCGACGCCGCGUGGGGGAAUGAAGGUCUUCGGAUUGUAAACCCCUGUCAUGUGGGAGCAAAUUAAAAAGAUAGUACCACAAGAGGAAGAGACGGCUAACUCUGUGCCAGCAGCCGCGGUAAUACAGAGGUCUCAAGCGUUGUUCGGAAUCACUGGGCGUAAAGCGUGCGUAGGCGGUUUCGUAAGUCGUGUGUGAAAGGCGGGGGCUCAACCCCCGGACUGCACAUGAUACUGCGAGACUAGAGUAAUGGAGGGGGAACCGGAAUUCUCGGUGUAGCAGUGAAAUGCGUAGAUAUCGAGAGGAACACUCGUGGCGAAGGCGGGUUCCUGGACAUUAACUGACGCUGAGGCACGAAGGCCAGGGGAGCGAAAGGGAUUAGAUACCCCUGUAGUCCUGGCAGUAAACGGUGCACGCUUGGUGUGCGGGGAAUCGACCCCCUGCGUGCCGGAGCUAACGCGUUAAGCGUGCCGCCUGGGGAGUACGGUCGCAAGAUUAAAACUCAAAGAAAUUGACGGGGACCCGCACAAGCGGUGGAGUAUGUGGCUUAAUUCGAUGCAACGCGAAGAACCUUACCUGGGCUUGACA